RNAcentral lists this signal recognition particle RNA (266 nucleotides) under Pseudomonadota bacterium. RNAcentral describes it as "signal recognition particle sRNA large type". It matches the Rfam family "Bacterial large signal recognition particle RNA". Rfam says of the family: The signal recognition particle (SRP) is a universally conserved ribonucleoprotein involved in the co-translational targeting of proteins to membranes. Archaeal SRP consists of a 7S RNA and homologues of the eukaryotic SRP19 and SRP54 proteins. In most bacteria, the SRP consists of a 4.5S RNA and the Ffh protein (a homologue of the eukaryotic SRP54 protein). RNAcentral also lists the same sequence under 1 other name. Lineage: Bacteria; Pseudomonadati; Pseudomonadota. The record is from RNAcentral.
CCGUGCUAGGCGGGGAGCUGGCGGUUCCCUGUACCCCCGAUCCGCCACAGGGGGGCGGAAUCCCCGCCCGAGGCGGCGCGCCUACGGGCACCGGCCCGCGCGUGCAGCGAGGACGGCCGGGUCCUGCGCUACGAGAGCCUGCGAACCCCGCCAGGUCCGGAAGGAAGCAACGGUAAGCAGUCCCUCUCGUGUGCCGCAGGGAUACCUGGUCGGAGCCGGCUGCGCGGAAACCGCCGCGGGCGUGUGCGUCGACGGCGGGUGCACGG